Long non-coding RNA from Pocillopora damicornis (cauliflower coral), 1308 nucleotides. RefSeq lists it as uncharacterized. The record is from RefSeq and is a predicted model, not a curated record. NCBI's taxonomy places the organism in Eukaryota, Metazoa, Cnidaria, Anthozoa, Scleractinia, Pocilloporidae.
GGCGAAUAACAAGCGUUGGCUGUUCUUAACCAACCCACCAACCUUUGAAAACGCGCUAUCGAUUUCAAUUCAGCUCCCGACGGGAAUCCUUGAGAAAACAUAUAUUAAGGCGAUGCCCCUUAAUUCAUAAGAAGAGCUGAUCACGUCCUUUAAGGCAGUUGAAGAAGGAAGCAGAAGGUUGAGCACUUUAAACGACAUGGCACUUUCAAGCUCAAGAAAAAUGAACGCGUUUGUAAUUUUUGCGUUCUUAACAGUUGCAUUUCUCACGGAUCACUCACAUGGAAUCAUGGGAUGGUUUGGAAACGGAGGAAAGCGACCAGAGGGCCGAAGGUCUUUUAUAACGCCAGAGGAACGUUGGAACCUAGCGGAGUACGAGCGUGCUCUUAAUCGCCAUCAUCAUGAUGUUGAUAGACAACAUGUACUUCCUAGACUGGAGAGGCAUCAUCGCCACCCUCUUUCAGUCCUCAGAGAAAAAUCAACUAAAAAUACUGGACUGUAAGCAUCUGUUCUGGGAGGAGUGAGUUUAACUACUUAAGUUACAAUCCAAGCGGACAGCUUUAAGGAAAACAAAAGGAACUGAAAAAAAUCUGAAGUCAAACGCAAUGAUGGCAGUGGCUCAUAUAUCGACGCGAUAAAAGCUUUAUUUCCAAGUUAAAUGAUUAACGAUAAAUGCGCGCAAAGGAGGCCGGUAAUAUUAACACCAGAAUUUAAAUACAUUAUAGCUGUUAGUUUGAGCUUUAUAAAUUGAACUGUUUUUGACAGUAGCAGAAAUUAAUUGUUACGUUACAUUGAUUAAAUGAUAGGCAGUAAAAGUCUGUUCUGCAGUACAAUUCUUAUAUUCAGACCCUGAGAGCUUUGUGUUUAGUGGAACAAGAGCCCCUAUAACCCGGCCUUUACACCCUAACAUUAGUAUGCAGAUUCUCCUUACUGUUCUAGGGGUAACCAGGGAAAUUUGUUUAACGAGCAAGUGGUUGUUUAGUUGGUGAUCAUUUCCCUUAUUCUUGGGACCGUAAUGUGUGAUUAAAGAGUGAUAUUGUGAGGAAAAAUUACAUGCUAGUCACUCUUAGGAGUCAAAGAGGUAUUAAUUUCCAUCCAUUUCUAAUUGCCCUCUCUACUUCACGGUACAGUGAUGUUGUAAGGAGAAGCUACUUUUCAGCACUCCUAUGAAUGGAAGGGUAAACAUGAUGCCUUGGUUCUAUUUUUUGACUGUAAUACAACAGCUCUUCUAAGCUAGAGAGUCACUUUCCAUAAAUAGCUCAAUUUAAUGCAUCACUAAACGAUUAAAUAAAAUUGAAAUGCUGCUGCUAA